UACGGAGGGGGCAAGCGUUAUUCGGAAUUAUUGGGCGUAAAGGGCGCGUAGGCGGCUAGAUGUGUCAAAGGUGAAAUCCCUCGGCUCAACUGAGGAACUGCCUUUGAAACUGUCUGGCUUGAGGCCGGGAGAGGGUAGCGGAAUUCCAGGUGUAGCGGUGAAAUGCGUAGAUAUCUGGAGGAAUACCGGUGGCGAAGGCGGCAUCCUGGACCGGCAUUGACGCUGAGGAGCGAAAGCCAGGGGAGCAAACGGG
RNAcentral lists this ribosomal RNA (253 nucleotides) under uncultured bacterium. RNAcentral's name for it is "partial 16S ribosomal RNA". It matches the Rfam family "Bacterial small subunit ribosomal RNA", at positions 524 to 776 of the family's 1533-position model. The record is from RNAcentral.